Molecule: transfer RNA, 68 nt
Filed under: Coprobacillus cateniformis
Lineage: Bacteria; Bacillati; Bacillota; Erysipelotrichia; Erysipelotrichales; Coprobacillaceae
Also listed under: 3 other names
Rfam family: tRNA
About the family: Transfer RNA (tRNA) molecules are approximately 80 nucleotides in length.
Source: RNAcentral
GGCUUAGCUCAACUGGUAGAGCAACUGACUUGUAAUCAGUAGGUUGAGGGUUCAAGUCCUUUAGCCGG